AUUGAACGCUGGCGGCAUGCCUUACACAUGCAAGUCGAACGGUAACAGGUUAAGCUGACGAGUGGCGAACGGGUGAGUAAUAUGUCGGAACGUGCCCAGUCGUGGGGGAUAACGUAGCGAAAGCUACGCUAAUACCGCAUACGAUCUAAGGAUGAAAGCGGGGGAUCGCAAGACCUCGCGCGAUUGGAGCGGCCGAUAUCAGAUUAGGUUGUUGGUGAGGUAAAAGCUCACCAAGCCUGCGAUCUGUAGCUGGUCUGAGAGGACGACCAGCCACACUGGAACUGAGACACGCUCCAGACUCCUACGGGAGGCAGCAGUGGGGAAUUUUGGACAAUGGACGCAAGUCUGAUCCAGCAAUGCCGCGUGCAGGACGAAGGCCUUCGGGUUGUAAACUGCUUUUGUACGGAACGAAACGGUGAGCUCUAAUACAGUUUGCUAAUGACGGUACCGUAAGAAUAAGCACCGGCUAACUACGUGCCAGCAGCCGCAGUAA
Molecule: ribosomal RNA, 493 nt
Filed under: uncultured bacterium
Lineage: Bacteria
Description: partial 16S ribosomal RNA
Rfam family: Bacterial small subunit ribosomal RNA
Source: RNAcentral